Molecule: transfer RNA, 74 nt
Filed under: Chlorobium chlorochromatii CaD3
Lineage: Bacteria; Pseudomonadati; Chlorobiota; Chlorobiia; Chlorobiales; Chlorobiaceae
Description: tRNA-Pro
Source: RNAcentral
AGCUUCUCUCGUCGUUACUCAUUACGCAAGUGGAGCAAAGCAGCCAAACCUUUAGCGGAUUAAGUAGUGGAUUG